GAAGGAAGAUGUAUGAAUGUAUAUAUAUACAACCCCAGUUCAAACAUAUCUUUGCCCAAGUGAAUACACAAGUUGCUAUAAAGUUACACAGAAGCCAGUCUCAAUAUUCAUUAUGCCUAAGUCAGAAAAACAGGAUAACAAGCCUCCUCCAGGAUACCCAACUGAGACACAGACACCUGCCACCGGAAAGAAAUGCUGCCCUACUACCAAGAAGAAAGGAGACACGGCCUUCAUCGAGGGAUGCCUCUUUGCUCUAUGCUGCUGCUGGCUUUGCGAAGCAUGCUUCUGAAUUAUGCGCUUGUGAUUCUAAGUAGCAUAACCUGUGUAUUCGAUUAUUCUAGUUUUAUGUAUUUGCUUAUAUAUUUCUAAUAAAAAGCUAAUUAGUAGAGCAAAAAUGCCUAGUAAAAUAA
Molecule: long non-coding RNA, 410 nt
Organism: Jatropha curcas
Lineage: Eukaryota; Viridiplantae; Streptophyta; Magnoliopsida; Malpighiales; Euphorbiaceae
Source: RefSeq, a predicted model, not a curated record